Molecule: long non-coding RNA, 501 nt
Organism: Leguminivora glycinivorella
Lineage: Eukaryota; Metazoa; Arthropoda; Insecta; Lepidoptera; Tortricidae
Exons: 3
Source: RefSeq, a predicted model, not a curated record
ACGGGAAUCUGCCCGCCAUUUGCUACCUUGCUUCUAGAAGCUCACGUGACUUGAUACAUCACGUGUACGCUCUCAAUUCAACUAUCUACCUUAGUCCAACAACUCGCACGCAUGCGAAACAUCUGUCCUUUAAGUUUGUUGUGAGAAUUUUAUCUAGCCGAGAUCUCCAACGCGAAAUGGAUGAGGGGAUUAAUAAAGAUGGGUUAUCUACAAUCUACAACGAAUCAUUCCGUGGAAUUUUUGUUGAUAAUAAAGUCUUGUAAAUAUCUUUCCAUUCAUAGUCCUUAAAUAAUCAUCGUCUCAGGCAAUACUUAAAAAGAUUCAUCACUGAAUUUAUGAUCUGACAGGAGUUUUCCAGUCGACCCCGACUCUGACCGCCAAUGUUAUUAAAUCUCGCGAGUAAAACUUUAUCUCCUUGGAAGUGUUUAUUUUACUUCAUACGCCGGCCACAGAUGUUAUUUUAGGUGAGGUAUCAACAAGUGUAAUGCGUGUUUAGUACCG